UACGACGGGGGCUAGCGUUGUUCGGAAUUACUGGGCGUAAAGCGCACGUAGGCGGGUUAUUAAGUCAGGGGUGAAAUCCCGGAGCUCAACUCCGGAACUGCCUUUGAUACUGGUAAUCUAGAGAUCGGAAGAGGUUAGUGGAAUUCCCAGUGUAGAGGUGAAAUUCGUAGAUAUCGGGAAGAACACCCGUGGCGAAGGCGGUUCUCUGGGACGGUACUGACGCUGAGACGCGAAAGCGUGGGGAGCGAACAGG
This 253-nucleotide ribosomal RNA is filed under the name uncultured bacterium. RNAcentral's name for it is "partial 16S ribosomal RNA". It matches the Rfam family "Bacterial small subunit ribosomal RNA", at positions 524 to 776 of the family's 1533-position model. The record is from RNAcentral.